This 424-nucleotide ribosomal RNA is filed under the name uncultured bacterium. RNAcentral describes it as "bacterial SSU rRNA". It matches the Rfam family "Bacterial small subunit ribosomal RNA", at positions 355 to 796 of the family's 1533-position model. The record is from RNAcentral.
UGGGGAAUAUUGGACAAUGGGCGCAAGCCUGAUCCAGCAAUGCCGCGUGAGUGAUGAAGGCCUUAGGGUUGUAAAGCUCUUUCGCCCGCGACGAUGAUGACGGUAGCGGGAGAAGAAGCCCCGGCUAACUUCGUGCCAGCAGCCGCGGUAAUACGAAGGGGGCGAGCGUUGUUCGGAUUUACUGGGCGUAAAGGGCGCGUAGGCGGCCCUCCUUGUCGCGUGUGAAAGCCCCGGGCUCAACCUGGGAAUUGCGCGCGAAACGGGGGGGCUUGAGUUCGGGAGAGGAGCGUGGAAUUCCCAGUGUAGAGGUGAAAUUCGUAGAUAUUGGGAAGAACACCGGUGGCGAAGGCGGCGCUCUGGACCGAGACUGACGCUGAGGCGCGAAAGCGUGGGGAGCAAACAGGAUUAGAUACCCCCGUAGUCC